UACGGAGGGUGCAAGCGUUAUCCGGAUUCACUGGGUUUAAAGGGUGCGCAGGCGGUUGGGUGUGUCAGAUGUGAAAUCCCGAGGCUUAACCUCGGAACUGCGUCUGAAACUACUCGACUAGAGUACUGGAGAGGGUAACGGAAUUCACGGUGUAGCAGUGAAAUGCGUAGAUAUCGUGAGGAACACCAGAGGCGAAGGCGGUUACCUGGACAGUUACUGACGCUCAGGCACGAGAGCAUGGGGAGCAAAAGGG
Molecule: ribosomal RNA, 253 nt
Filed under: uncultured bacterium
Lineage: Bacteria
Description: partial 16S ribosomal RNA
Rfam family: Bacterial small subunit ribosomal RNA
Source: RNAcentral